Molecule: small RNA, 23 nt
Filed under: Mus musculus (house mouse)
Lineage: Eukaryota; Metazoa; Chordata; Mammalia; Rodentia; Muridae
Description: oocyte_piRNA3664
Source: RNAcentral
UCAGCUUACACUUGCUUACUGCU